Molecule: long non-coding RNA, 4665 nt
Organism: Pongo pygmaeus (Bornean orangutan)
Lineage: Eukaryota; Metazoa; Chordata; Mammalia; Primates; Hominidae
Exons: 3
Source: RefSeq, a predicted model, not a curated record
UUUAAAGUUCUUAGGGAAAUAACUGAUAUGGUUUGGCUGUGUCCCCACUCAAAUCUUGCAUUGUAACUCCCACAAUUCCCACAUGUCCUGGGAGGAACCCUGUGGGAGGUAAUUGAAUCAUGGGGGUGGGUCUUUCCUGUACUGUUCUUGUGAUAGUGAAUGGGUCUCAUGAGAUCUGAUGGUUUUAAAAAACAGGAGUUUCUCUGCAAAAGCCCUCUCUUUGAGUGCCGCCAUCCACAUAAGAUUAACUUGCUCUUCCUUGCCUUCCACCGUGAUUGUGAGGCCUCCCCAGCCAUGUGGAACUACACAAUCGGGGCUUACUGCAACCUCCACCUCCCAGGUUCAAGUGAUCCUCCUGCCUCAGCCUCUCAAGUAGCUGGGACUACAGGAUCCUUCAAUGUCUAGAAGAUUGCCACAAUUUGUUAUGUUAGGGUCAAAUCAAUGACUAUACAGGCACAGCAAGAAAACUAACAAGUGUUUCUGAGUAAUGAUUAUGGUCUUCCCUGAAAACAAAGACAAGCAAUUCUUUAAGAAAGCUUAAAACGGCCAUUGAACUCUGAACCAGAGCCCAAAUAAUGAAUAUCAAGCUACCUCCUCAACAAGAAAUGUUAUCCCAGCAGUGCAGCUGUGAGCUAAUUAAACAGCCCAGAUCAUUGUGCUAAACUUUAGUACUGCAUUUACAGAAUUAAUUCAGAGGACAUCUUAUUAAACUCUGGGGUUUAUCAGAAGAAGGCAGCCUCUUUUUUUUGAGCAGCAUUUAAAAAAUUAACAUACUGGAUAAGCUGCUUAUUAUAGAUGGAGCCUAUGACAUCCUUCAAGUACAUGCAAAAACUAAGCAAUGAAUUUCUAAGCAAAAUAAUGAAGCUAUUGCACUCUGAGACCAAAAUGUAAAAAUAGUACCUUAGAUAUCCUGAGAGCACUUUCAAAAAAAAUUAUAUUCUAUAUGGUUAUUUCUAAAGUCCUGAAAGACAUACUGAUGAUGACUAAUAUGCUGGAAUCUAGCAUAUAUAUAUAUGUGUGUGUGUGUGUGAGAGAGAGAGAGACAGAGAGAGAGAGAGAGAGAAAUAUGUAGCAAUUCUAUAUUUAAUUAACUUGGAAAUCAGUAAUAACUGGCAUGUGUAAGACAAGAAUAUUUUAAAUUAUUGUGAAGUAUAAUACUUUCCCUCUUAAUUAGUCUUAAUAAAACUUGGGCUUUAAAAUUUAUAUCUAGAAAUCUAAAUCAUAAACAAAAUUCCUACUUUAUUGUAAAUGCUGAUGGCUGUCAUUAUUUAAGUUAUUAUGCAUGGGCAGUAAUGGUAGGAAUCAGAUAUGGAGACAUUUAUGACUGGAAACUUUGUGGAGGGCAUAAAAUAUGUUACAUUAUUUUAAGUUUGUUGAUGUAGUGGACUCAAGAAGAUAAAACAAAUCAGUGAAUUCUUUACAAUCCUAGUCACUCAUCUUUAAAACAGGGAGAGCAACACUUAUCUUACAUUAUUUUCAGUACUGCAACAAAAUAAGAUAGCGGUUUUUGAAUAGUUCAAUAAUUCUAACACUUGUAAAGUAACGGAUAAAAAUAAGAGAGUCCUGAAAUAAAGCAGCAUACCUACAACCAUCUGAUCUUUGACAAAGUAGACAAAAACAAGCAGCAGAGAAAAGAUUCCCUAUUCAAUAAAUGAUGCUGGCAACACAAAAAGAAAACUUAAGGCCAAUAUCCUUGAUGAAUAUCAAUGCAAAAAUCCUCAUCAAAAUACUGGCAAACUAAAUCCAGCAGCACAUCAAAAAGUGUAUCUACCACAAUCAAGUAGGCCUUAUUUCUGAGAUGCAAGUUUGGUUCAACAUAUGCAAAUCAAUAAAUGUGAUUCAUCACAUAAGCAUAAGACAAAAGCCACAUGAUCACCUCAAUAGAUGCUGAAAAGCUUUUGAUAAAAUUCAGCACCCAUUUAUGUUAAAAACUCUCAAUAAACUAUGUAUUGAAGGAACAUACCUGAAAAUAAAAAGAACCAUCUAUGACAAACCCACAUCUAACAUCAUACUGGAUGGGCAAAAGCUGGAAAUGUUCCCUUGAAAACUGGCACAAGACAAGGAUGCCCUCUCUCACCACUCCUAUUCAACAGUGUUGAAAGUCCUGGCCAGAGCAAUCAGUCAAGAGAAAGAAGUAAAUGGCAUCCAAAAAGGAAAAGAAGUCACAACUAUCUUUAUUUUCAGGUGACAUAAUUCUGUAUCUAGAAAACUCCAUAGUCUCAGCUCAAAAGCUACUUAAGCUGAUAAACAACUUCAGUGAAAUCUCAGGAUAAAAAUCAAUGUACAAAAAUCACUAGCAUUCCUAUACACCAACAACAGUCAAGCUGAAAGCCAAAUCAGGAACACAAUCUUAUUCACAAUUGUCACAAAAAGAAUAAAAUACCUAGGAAUCCAGCUAACAGGGAGGUGAAAGAUCUCUGCAAGGAGAAUUAGAAAACAUUGCUCAAAGAUAUCAGAGAUGACACAGACAAAUGGAAAAAUAUUCCAUACUCAUGGAUGGGAAGAAUGCGUAUUAUUAAAAUGGCCAUACUGCCCAAAGCAAUUUAUAGAUUCAGCUAUUACUAUCAAACUACUAAUGAUAGUCUUCACAGAACUAGAAAAAAACUAUUUUAGAAUUCAUAUGGAACCAAAAUAGAGCCCAAAUAGCAAAGGCAAUUCUAAGCAGAAGGAAGAAAACUGGAAGCAUUAUGCUACCCAACUUCAAACUAUACCACAGAGCUUCAGGAACCAAAACAGCAUGGUACAGAUACAAAAACAGGCUCCCAGACAAAUGAAACAGAAUAGAGAGCCCAGACAGAAGGCUGCACACUUACCACCCAUCUAAUCUUUGACAACACUGACAAAAACGGCAAUGGGGAAAAGACUCAGGACUCCUUAUUCAAUAAAGGGUACUGGGAGAACUGGCUAGCUAUAUGCAGAAGAUUGAAACUGGACCCCUUCCUUACAUCAUAUACAAAGACCAAUGCAAGAUGGAUUAAAGACUUAAAUGUAAAACCCCAAACUACAAAAUCCCUGGAGGACAACCUGGGCAAUACCAUUCUGGACAUAGGAAAUGGCAAAGAUUUCAUGAUGAAGACUUCCAAAGCAGUUGUGAAAAUUGAUAAAUGGGAUCUAAUUGAACUAAAGAGCUUCUGCACAGCAAAAGAAACUAUCAACAAAGUAAAGAGUCGACCUAUAGCAUGGGAGAAAAUAUUUGCAAACUACGCAUCUGACAAAGAUCUAAUAUCCAGCAUCUAUAAAGAACUUAAACUUACAAGAAAAAAACAAACAUCUCCAUUAAAAAGUGGGCAAAGGACUUAAACAGACACUUUCCAAAAGACAUACAUGCAGCCAACAAUCAUAUUUUAAAAAGCUGAACAUCAUGGAUCAUUCGAGAAAUGCAAAUCAAUCUAUGGCCAUACCACCCUGAACUCAACCAAUCUCGUCUGAUCUCGGAAGCUAAGCAGGAUCAGGCCUGGUUAGUACUUGGAUGGGAGAAAUGCCAAUCAAAACCACAAUGAGAUACCAUCUCACACCAGUCAGAAUGGCUACAUUAAAAAGUCACAAAAUAACAUGCUAGUGAGAUUAUGGAGCAAAACGAAUGCUUAUACACUGUUGGUGAGAGUGUAAGUUGGUUCAAUUAUUGUGGAAAACAGUGUGAUGAUUACUCAAAGACCUAAAAACAGAACUACCAUUCAACCUAGCAAUCCCAUUACUGGAUAUAUACCCAAAGGAAUACAUAUUAUUCUACCAUAAGGACACAUUCUUGUGUAUGUUCAUUGCAGCAUGAUUCACAACAGCAAAGACAUGGAAUCAACUUAAAUGCCAUCAAUAGUUGACUGGAUAAAGACAAUGUGGUACAUAUACACUAUGGAAUACUAUCAAACCACAAAAAAAGAAUGAGAUCAUGUCAUUUGACAGAACAUGGAUGGAGCUGGAGGCCAUUAUUCUUAGCAAACUAAUGCAGAAACAGAAAACCAAAUAUUGCAUGUUCUUAUUUAUAAGUAGAAGCCAAAUGAUGAGAGCACAUGGACACACAGAGGAAAACAACAGACACUGGGGCCUACUGGAGGGUGGAGAGUGGGAGAAGGGAAAGGAUCAGAAAAAAUAACUCAUGGGUACUAGGCUUAAUACUUGGGUGACAAAAUAAUCUGUACAACAAACCCCCGUGACAUGAGUUUACCUAUGUAACAAACAUGCACCUGUACCCCUGAACUUAAAAUAAAAGUUAAAAAAUAAAAACAACAAACCAGCAAAACAAACAUUAUACUAAAAAUAAUUUAAAAAUGGUGCUGGGAUAACAGGCUAGCCACAUGCAGAAGAUUGAAACUGGAUCCCUUCCUUACACUAUGUACAAAAAUCAACUCAAGAUGGAUUAAAGACUUAAAUGUAAAAACCUAAAACUGUAAAAUCUCUAAAAGAUAACCUGAGAAAUAUAUUUCUGGGCACAGGCCCUGGCAAAGAUUUCAUGAAAAAGACACCAAAAGCAAUUGCAACAAAAACAAAAAUUGACAAAUGGGACCUAAUUAAACUAAAGAGCUUCUGUGCAGCAAAAGAAACUAUCAAUAGAGUAAACUGACAACCUAUAGAAUGGGAGAGAAUAUUUGCAAACUAUGAAUCCAACAAUGGUCUAAUAUCCAGCAUCUAUAAGGAACUUAAGCAAAUUAACAAGCAAAAAAUGAAAAA